This 520-nucleotide ribosomal RNA is filed under the name uncultured Glomus. Its description in RNAcentral is "SSU rRNA". It matches the Rfam family "Eukaryotic small subunit ribosomal RNA", at positions 569 to 1092 of the family's 1831-position model. Lineage: Eukaryota; Fungi; Glomeromycota; Glomeromycetes; Glomerales; Glomeraceae. The record is from RNAcentral.
AGCAGCCGCGGUAAUUCCAGCUCCAAUAGCGUAUAUUAAAGUUGUUGCAGUUAAAAGCUCGUAGUUGAAUUUCGGGAUCAGUUGAUCGGUCGUGCCUCGGUACGUACUGGUCAAAUUGAUUCCUACCUUCUGACGAACCACGAUGUCAUUAAUUUGGUGUCGUGGGAAAUCAGGACUGUUACUUUGAAAAAAUUAGAGUGUUUAAAGCAGGCUCGCGCUUGAAUACAUUAGCAUGGAAUAAUGAAAUAGGACGUUUGAUUCUAUUUUGUUGGUUUCUAGGAUCGACGUAAUGAUUAAUAGGGAUAGUUGGGGGCAUUAGUAUUCAAUUGUCAGAGGUGAAAUUCUUGGAUUUAUUGAAGACUAACUACUGCGAAAGCAUUUGCCAAGGAUGUUUUCAUUAAUCAAGAACGAAAGUUAGGGGAUCGAAGACGAUCAGAUACCGUCGUAGUCUUAACCAUAAACUAUGCCGACUAGGGAUCGGAUGAUGUUAAUUUUUUAAUGACUCAUUCGGCGCCUUACG